RNAcentral lists this ribosomal RNA (264 nucleotides) under Triticum aestivum (bread wheat). RNAcentral describes it as "partial small subunit ribosomal RNA". The record is from RNAcentral. Lineage: Eukaryota; Viridiplantae; Streptophyta; Magnoliopsida; Poales; Poaceae.
AUGAGAUAUCGGCGGCCUCCCUCGAGGAGGACCGCCGGAUGCAAUGAAUAUACUGUUUUGGAACUACCGGGGGGGGGACGCCGGACAGUUCGUGAGGUCUUGGCCCUCUCAAAAGCCAAUUCCCCCAAACUAGUCUUCCUAUGUGAGACUAGACAGGAUUCUGUUAAAGUGGAAAAACUGCGUUGGAGACUCGGUUUGAAAGGCUUUCAUGGUGUGAGUAGCGAUGGAAGAAGUGGUGGUUUGGCUCUGUUUUGGGAUGAGUCG